AGUGAACGCUGGCGGUAGGCCUAACACAUGCCAGUCGAACGGCAGCACAGUAAGAGCUUGCUCUUACGGGUGGCGAGUGGCGGACGGGUGAGGAAUACAUCGGAAUCUACUUUUUCGUGGGGGAUAACGUAGGGAAACUUACGCUAAUACCGCAUACGACCUACGGGUGAAAGCAGGGGAUCUUCGGACCUUGCGCGAUUGAAUGAGCCGAUGUCGGAUUAGCUAGUUGGCGGGGUAAAGGCCCACCAAGGCGACGAUCCGUAGCUGGCCUGAGAGGAUGAUCAGCCACACUGGAACUGAGACACGGUCCAGACUCCUACGGGAGGCAGCAGUGGGGAAUAUUGGACAAUGGGCGCAAGCCUGAUCCAGCCAUACCGCGUGGGUGAAGAAGGCCUUCGGGUUGUAAAGCCCUUUUGUUGGGAAAGAAAAGCAGCAGGUUAAUACCCAGCUGUUCUGACGGUACCCAAAGAAUAAGCACCGGCUAACUUCGUG
This 492-nucleotide ribosomal RNA is filed under the name uncultured bacterium. Its description in RNAcentral is "partial 16S ribosomal RNA". It matches the Rfam family "Bacterial small subunit ribosomal RNA", at positions 29 to 507 of the family's 1533-position model. The record is from RNAcentral.